RNAcentral lists this ribosomal RNA (861 nucleotides) under uncultured organism. RNAcentral's name for it is "bacterial SSU rRNA". It matches the Rfam family "Bacterial small subunit ribosomal RNA", at positions 36 to 917 of the family's 1533-position model. The record is from RNAcentral.
CUGGCGGCGUGCCUAACACAUGCAAGUCGAGCGAUGAGGCUCCCUUCGGGGGGUACAUCAGCGGCGAACGGGUGAGUAACACGUGGGUGACCUUCCCCAAAGACGGGGAUAACUCUUGGAAACAGGGGCUAAUACCCGAUGUGCUCAGCAGUUCACUCUGUUGAGUAAAGCUAUGGCGCUUUGGGAUGGGCCCGCGGCCCAUCAGCUAGUUGGUAGGGUAAAGGCCUACCAAGGCUAAGACGGGUAGGGGGCGUGAGAGCGCGAUCCCCCACACUGGCACUGAGACACGGGCCAGACUCCUACGGGAGGCAGCAGUGAGGAAUAUUGCGCAAUGGACGAAAGUCUGACGCAGCGACGCCGCGUGGGCGAUGAAGGCCUUCGGGUCGUAAAGCCCUUUUCUGGGGGAAGAGAAAGGACGGUACCCCAGGAAUAAGCCCCGGCUAACUACGUGCCAGCAGCCGCGGUAAAACGUAGGGGGCAAGCGUUAUCCGGAUUUACUGGGCGUAAAGAGCGUUGAGGCGGUUUUGUAAGUUGGGCGUGAAAGCCCUGGGCUUAACUCAGGGAAGCCGUUCAAUACUGCGAAACUUGAGGGCAGCAGAGGGAGGUGGAAUUCCCGGAGUAGCGGUGAAAUGCGUAGAUAUCGGGAGGAACACCAGUGGCGAAGGCGGCCUCCUGGGCUGCUCCUGACGCUGAAGGCGAAAGCUAGGGGAGCGAACGGGAUUAGAAACCCCGGUAGUCCUAGCCGUAAACGAUGGAUGCUAGGUGUGGGGGGUGUAGAUUCCCUCCGUGCCGCAGUUAACGCGUUAAGCAUCCCGCCUGGGGAGUACGGCCGCAAGGCUAAAACUCAAACGAAUUGACGGG